Molecule: long non-coding RNA, 1201 nt
Organism: Podarcis raffonei (Aeolian wall lizard)
Lineage: Eukaryota; Metazoa; Chordata; Lepidosauria; Squamata; Lacertidae
Exons: 4
Source: RefSeq, a predicted model, not a curated record
UUCUUGGUCGUCCAUUGGUUCGCUCGCUUGCCACUUUCUCGCCAGCUUAUUUCCACAAAUGCCCGUUGGGUGUACGCCUCUGUCUCAGCUUUGUACCUAUUGGCUGCUGCCGUUGCCAAUCAAGUCUGCCAAGCUCGCCGUCCUCACCUAUGCGCAAUAUUUUUUUUAAAAAAACAGGCUAUGCAGUAUGGAAUGUCACUGGUCGAAGGAUGUCGGAAGAGAAGUGAACUUUGGCACUGGGUUUGAUUGGGCAGAUGUUAAAGGAAUAUAAUUUCUGUAUUAAGAUUAGCAAGUGUGGAUUGAUUCCUAACUCUACAAGCUUCUUCCACAAUAUCACAAGAUCAACUGAAUCAAAGGCACCACAAAAAUCUAUGAAAGCUUCAAAAAUAUUGGAUUGGUUUUGAAGUCUAUAUUUUUCAACCAAAUGUGCCAGAACAGAACAGAACUGAAGGGUUCAGCCAACCUGCUUAUAUAGAGCUCAACUACAAAGCAACAGUAACAACUUUCUAGUCUUGAAGUUGAUGCUGAGCACUGGUAGAGGAGAAUAACCAUUUACACCACCUUGGAGAAAAGUUGGGAUAUAAAUGCAACAAAACGGUACAAGGCUAAAGUUUUGGCACCGCUCUAAACAUUGGUUUCAUAGUGGUGAUAAAUAAACAAUUGAAAAAAUACAGAGGCAACACAUUUUACUAUCAGAGGACAAUAAAAAUCCUGGAAAAUAGUCUUUGAGUGGGCAAAAACAAGAGGAAGAGCCCAGCCGAGAACAUUGUGCUGUAAAACUACUGCAUUUACUGCUGCUAUUAGUGAAGCGAGCAUGGAAUCCACUUGACACAUGCAAGAAAGACACGUGUGCAUCAACUGAACAUUUCCAGAGCUCAAAAACCAAAGGUAAAAGGUGAGAUAAUAAUGUGAAAGUGUUGUCAGCUCCAGUAUCUUUCUGCAGUUACUGAUGUUAUUUUGUCAAGAUGUAUUUCACAGAUCAUUGACUUGAGCACAAAGCAGACGUAAUCUGUAAUCCAGGAGGAGAUCUAUCAGCUACUAUCACUGCAAAGAUAAAUCUCCCCCCCUACUCACAGUAACAAAAGAACAACAACAAAACAGAAAGAAUGGGGACUGAGGAAAAGCUGGUUGGAAAACAUCUAAUAAUGUUUGUAAGCAAAUCAUUGAACAUAUUGUUAUUUUUUACUGAAAUUCAAAUACA